This 497-nucleotide ribosomal RNA is filed under the name uncultured bacterium. Its description in RNAcentral is "partial 16S ribosomal RNA". It matches the Rfam family "Bacterial small subunit ribosomal RNA", at positions 28 to 507 of the family's 1533-position model. The record is from RNAcentral.
GAUGAACGCUGGCGGCGGGCCUAACACAUGCAAGUCGAGCGAACGAACGAGGAGUGCGCUUGUCUGCAGUUAGCGGCGGACGGGUGAGGAACAGGAGUCUAACCUGCCGAGAGGACUAAGGUAACGUAGGGAACCCGGAUCCAACAUCGGACAAGAUGUUGAACGGCAGGAUUCAUAAGUGAACGAGGUUCUUGCUGUCACUUAUAGAUAGAUCCGCGCUGCAUUAGCUAGUUGGUAAGGUAACGGCCUACCAAGGCUACGAUGCAUAGCCGACCUGAGAGGGUGAUCAGCCACACUGGAACUGAGACACGGUCCAGACUCCUACGGGAGGCAGCAGUAGGGAAUAUUCCGCAAUGGGCGAAAGCCUGACGGAGCCACGCCGCGUGAGUGAUGAAGGUCUUCGGAUCGUAAAGCUCUGUUAUUAGGGAGGAAGAUAAGUGAAUGUAUCUGUUCACAUCUUGACGGUACCUAAACAGAAAGCCACGGCUAACUUCGUG